CCUACGUGCGGCAGCAGUGGGGAAUAUUGCGCAAUGGGCGAAAGCCUGACGCAGCGACGCCGCGUGAGGGAUGAAGGUCUUCGGAUCGUAAACCUCUGUCAGCAGGGAGGAACGGUCACUGUGCUAAUCAGCAGUGAAUUGACGGUAACUGCAAAGGAAGCACAGGCUAACUCCGUGCCAGCAGCCGCGGUAAUACGGAGGGUGCGAGCGUUAAGCGGCAUUACUGGGCGUAAGGCGCUCGUAGGCGGGAUGUCAAGUCCAGGGUGAAAUCCCCGCGCUCAACGUGGGAACUGCCUUUGAAACUGGCAAACUGGAGUGUGUGAGAGGAUAGUGGAAUUCCAGGUGUAGGAGUGAAAUCCGUAGAUAUCUGGAGGAACAUCAGUGGCGAAGGCGACUAUCUGGCACAUAACUGACGCUGAGGAGCGAAAGCGUGGGUAGCAAACAGGAUUAGAGACCCUGGUAGUC
This 465-nucleotide ribosomal RNA is filed under the name uncultured bacterium. RNAcentral describes it as "partial 16S ribosomal RNA". It matches the Rfam family "Bacterial small subunit ribosomal RNA", at positions 338 to 795 of the family's 1533-position model. The record is from RNAcentral.